This 1192-nucleotide ribosomal RNA is filed under the name Bacillus amyloliquefaciens. RNAcentral describes it as "bacterial SSU rRNA". It matches the Rfam family "Bacterial small subunit ribosomal RNA", at positions 128 to 1306 of the family's 1533-position model. Lineage: Bacteria; Bacillati; Bacillota; Bacilli; Caryophanales; Bacillaceae. The record is from RNAcentral.
GCCUGUAAGACUGGGAUAACUCCGGGAAACCGGGGCUAAUACCGGAUGGUUGUUUGAACCGCAUGGUUCAGACAUAAAAGGUGGCUUCGGCUACCACUUACAGAUGGACCCGCGGCGCAUUAGCUAGUUGGUGAGGUAACGGCUCACCAAGGCAACGAUGCGUAGCCGACCUGAGAGGGUGAUCGGCCACACUGGGACUGAGACACGGCCCAGACUCCUACGGGAGGCAGCAGUAGGGAAUCUUCCGCAAUGGACGAAAGUCUGACGGAGCAACGCCGCGUGAGUGAUGAAGGUUUUCGGAUCGUAAAGCUCUGUUGUUAGGGAAGAACAAGUGCCGUUCAAAUAGGGCGGCACCUUGACGGUACCUAACCAGAAAGCCACGGCUAACUACGUGCCAGCAGCCGCGGUAAUACGUAGGUGGCAAGCGUUGUCCGGAAUUAUUGGGCGUAAAGGGCUCGCAGGCGGUUUCUUAAGUCUGAUGUGAAAGCCCCCGGCUCAACCGGGGAGGGUCAUUGGAAACUGGGGAACUUGAGUGCAGAAGAGGAGAGUGGAAUUCCACGUGUAGCGGUGAAAUGCGUAGAGAUGUGGAGGAACACCAGUGGCGAAGGCGACUCUCUGGUCUGUAACUGACGCUGAGGAGCGAAAGCGUGGGGAGCGAACAGGAUUAGAUACCCUGGUAGUCCACGCCGUAAACGAUGAGUGCUAAGUGUUAGGGGGUUUCCGCCCCUUAGUGCUGCAGCUAACGCAUUAAGCACUCCGCCUGGGGAGUACGGUCGCAAGACUGAAACUCAAAGGAAUUGACGGGGGCCCGCACAAGCGGUGGAGCAUGUGGUUUAAUUCGAAGCAACGCGAAGAACCUUACCAGGUCUUGACAUCCUCUGACAAUCCUAGAGAUAGGACGUCCCCUUCGGGGGCAGAGUGACAGGUGGUGCAUGGUUGUCGUCAGCUCGUGUCGUGAGAUGUUGGGUUAAGUCCCGCAACGAGCGCAACCCUUGAUCUUAGUUGCCAGCAUUCAGUUGGGCACUCUAAGGUGACUGCCGGUGACAAACCGGAGGAAGGUGGGGAUGACGUCAAAUCAUCAUGCCCCUUAUGACCUGGGCUACACACGUGCUACAAUGGACAGAACAAAGGGCAGCGAAACCGCGAGGUUAAGCCAAUCCCACAAAUCUGUUCUCAGUUCGGAUCGCAGUCU